CUGAGUUACUGCAGCUAUUGAAAUGCUUGACAGAAGGAUCCCAGAGCAGUUUGCGCUAAUUGCUGUGUAAAAAUACUCCAUUAUGUGCUCAGACAAUCAAAAUCGACCCGGCAAGUGAGUUCCCCGGUCCGCUGCAAUCACGGAGCAGAGCAGAACAUCGCAGUAUAAACAGCGCUCGCAGAGGGGCGCGGGAGGAGGGGAGCUCGGCAGGUCCUGCCCAAAGAGCUGCCUUUUUUUUGUUGUUGUUAUUUUGCUUGGUUUCUAAUUUCCACAGGAAAUUUAAUUUCGGGAAUAUGUGGCACCAACUUCCAAGCCGGAGGAGGGCUCCGGGGAAAGCGUUGCAGACAGAAGCAGCAAGGGCUGUACUUACAGGCUGGCUGAGGGGGAUCAUAUCCAUGCCUUAUUUCUUUGAGAUCUUAUAACAGCUGCCAACAUCCAAAGCAUCACUAAUUCCAGCAUGUCACCUGGCUCCUGGCAAAACUGAGGGUCUGCACACUGAGUUACUUGGACCACAGAGCUUUGAUGCUUCCACGGUCUCAUAGUUUAACAUAGGAAAGAGUUAAAGUGAUACAAAACCUUUUUCUAUAACUAACAAUCUACUGAACCACUAAAAAACUAAACAUGCCUCUGUGAAAGACACAUGUUAAUGAUGAAAAAACCCCAAGAAACCAGAUUUAUUAAUAUCAAAAUUAAUAAAAUCUCAACCAACCAAAACCAC
Long non-coding RNA from Passer domesticus (house sparrow), 718 nucleotides. RefSeq lists it as uncharacterized. The transcript has 2 exons. Lineage: Eukaryota; Metazoa; Chordata; Aves; Passeriformes; Passeridae. The record is from RefSeq and is a predicted model, not a curated record.